UACAGAGGGGGCGAGCGUUGUUCGGAAUUACUGGGCGGAAAGGGCGCGUAGGCGGCCAACUAAGUCAGACGUGAAAUCCCUCGGCUCAACCGGGGAACUGCGUCUGAUACUGGAUGGCUUGAAUUCGGGAGAGGGAUGCGGAAUUCCAGGUGUAGCGGUGAAAUGCGUAGAUAUCUGGAGGAACACCGGUGGCGAAGGCGGUGCUCUGGGCCAGUACUGACGCUGAGGAGCGAAAGCGUGGGGAGCAAACAGG
This 253-nucleotide ribosomal RNA is filed under the name uncultured bacterium. RNAcentral's name for it is "partial 16S ribosomal RNA". It matches the Rfam family "Bacterial small subunit ribosomal RNA", at positions 524 to 776 of the family's 1533-position model. The record is from RNAcentral.